UACAGAGGGGGCAAGCGUUAUUCGGAAUUAUUGGGCGUAAAGGGCGCGUAGGCGGCCUGGCAAGUGGAAGGUGAAAUCCCUCGGCUUAACCGAGGAACUGCCCUCCAAACUGCUUGGCUUGAGUCCGGGAGAGGUGAGUGGAAUUCCCAGUGUAGCGGUGAAAUGCGUAGAUAUUGGGAAGAACACCGGUGGCGAAGGCGGCGACCUGGUCCGAUACUGACGCUGAGGCGCGAAAGCGUGGGGAGCAAACAGG
Molecule: ribosomal RNA, 253 nt
Filed under: uncultured bacterium
Lineage: Bacteria
Description: partial 16S ribosomal RNA
Rfam family: Bacterial small subunit ribosomal RNA
Source: RNAcentral